CCGCGGUAUUCCAGCUCCAAUAGCGUAUAUUAAAGUUGCUGCAGUUAAAAAGCUCGUAGUUGGAUCUGGGGACAAAUACGGAUGGUUCGCUUUCGGGCGUGACUGUCUGUGUGUUCCUACACUGUCGUGGUUGCCUUUGGUGUUCUUCACUGAAUGCUAUUGGUGCCCGACCUGAUUACUUUGAAAAAAUUAGAGUGCUUAAAGCAGGCCUUGUGCUUGUAUAUUGUUGCAUGGAAUAAUGGAAUAGGACUUCGGUUCUAUUUUGUUGGUUUUCGGAAUUGAAGUAAUGAUUAACAGAGACUGCCGGGGGCAUAAGUAUACUGGGGCUAGAGGUGAAAUUCUUGGACCCUCAGUAGACUACCUAUUGCGAAAGCAUUUGCCAAGAAUGUUUUCACUAAUCAAGAACGAAAGUCAGAGGUUCGAAGACGAUCAGAUACCGUCCUAGUUCCGACCAUAAAUGAUAUCAACUAAUUAUUGGCAAAGGCGCUUGUUCGCCCGAGCCAGCAGCCUCCGGGAAACCAAAGUUUUUGGAUCCCGGGGGUAGUAUGGUUGCAAGACUGAAACUUAAAGGAAUUGACGGAAGGGCACCACCAGGAGUGGAGCCUGCGGCUUAAUUUGACUCAACACGGGGAACCUCACCCGGCCCGGACACUCGAAGGAUUGACAGAUUAAUUGCUCUUUCUUAAUUUAGUGGUUGGUGGUGCAUGGCCGUUCUUAGUUGGUGGAGUGAUUUGUCUGGUUGAUUCCGAUAACGAGCGAGACUCACGCCUACUAAAUAGCAGGCUAAUGUCGGUCUCUUGAGACACACCAAUUAGGCAUGUUGCUUCUUAGAGGGAUUUAUGUCUUCCAGACAUAUGAACAGUGAGCAAUAACAGGUCUGUGAUGCCCUUAGAUGUCCGGGGCCGCACGCGCGCUACACUGAAAGCUUCAACGAGUUGUCCUGG
This 944-nucleotide ribosomal RNA is filed under the name uncultured eukaryote. RNAcentral's name for it is "SSU rRNA". It matches the Rfam family "Eukaryotic small subunit ribosomal RNA", at positions 574 to 1531 of the family's 1831-position model. The record is from RNAcentral.